UUAAAAUAUAAAUAAAAAUAUUAGAUUAGUAAUAGGUAUGUUCUUUAAACUUAAAAAAUUUGGCGGUAUUUUAAUCUAAUCAGAGGAACUUGUUUUAUAAUUGAUAAUCCCCGUUUUAUCUUACUUAAUUUAAUUAAAUUUAUAUAUCGUUGUCAUAAGAAUAUCUUAAAAAAGAAAAAAUUUUCUAAUUUAAUAAUUAUUUAAAAUGUCAGAUCAAGGUGUAGUUUAUAAUUAAGAAAAAAUGAGUUACAAUAAAUUUAUUUAUUAUGAAUUAUAAAGUUAAAUAUUUAUAUGAAGGUGGAUUUGACAGUAAAUUUUUUUUAAUUGAAAGAUUGAUUUUAGUUCUAAAAUAUGC
This 355-nucleotide ribosomal RNA is filed under the name unidentified. RNAcentral's name for it is "Pyratula subcanariae partial 12S ribosomal RNA". The record is from RNAcentral.